This 69-nucleotide transfer RNA is filed under the name Cryobacterium sp. SO1. RNAcentral describes it as "tRNA-Arg". Lineage: Bacteria; Bacillati; Actinomycetota; Actinomycetes; Micrococcales; Microbacteriaceae. The record is from RNAcentral.
GGAUCACCGGGUGGAGCACCAGUCUCUCUCCGAGGGGGACGGGUUGCCGAUCGUGUCAGUCGUGAUCCC